This 266-nucleotide ribosomal RNA is filed under the name uncultured Lachnospiraceae bacterium. RNAcentral's name for it is "partial 16S ribosomal RNA". It matches the Rfam family "Bacterial small subunit ribosomal RNA", at positions 72 to 339 of the family's 1533-position model. Lineage: Bacteria; Bacillati; Bacillota; Clostridia; Lachnospirales; Lachnospiraceae. The record is from RNAcentral.
UAGCUUGCUACGAGCUGUUUUAGCGGCGGACGGGUGAGUAACGCGUGGAUAACCUGCCUCACACAGGGGGAUAACAGUUAGAAAUGACUGCUAAUACCGCAUAAGCGCACGGUACCGCAUGGUACAGUGUGAAAAACUGAGGUGGUGUGAGAUGGAUCCGCGUCUGAUUAGCUAGUUGGUGGGGUAGUAGCCCACCAAGGCGACGAUCAGUAGCCGACCUGAGAGGGUGACCGGCCACAUUGGGACUGAGACACGGCCCAAACUCC